Frieseomelitta varia is the source of this 294-nucleotide long non-coding RNA. RefSeq lists it as uncharacterized. The transcript has 2 exons. The record is from RefSeq and is a predicted model, not a curated record. Lineage: Eukaryota; Metazoa; Arthropoda; Insecta; Hymenoptera; Apidae.
AAAUUCGAGACCUCGCCAGCUCGUUAUAUACUGUUCUUUCAUCGAUCUCGUCGGAUAACACGAGAAUGGCAAAAAUCGUAAGUCAAAGAAUGAUCUCUGCAUAUACAGCCAGACACCUACGUGUAUGCGUCUAUGGAGUCGGACCACGAGCAAAGCAGCAACAGGUUUAAUCGCGUCGGGGUGUGGCUGACUGACUGGCUGGCCGGCUCCGCUCAUUCGGCUGCUCUUUUGCCGCGUCGAUGCGCCACUCAUCGUCAGCUGGGGAAAACCUGGACACCGGUCUGGAAAUUACAA